Molecule: ribosomal RNA, 476 nt
Filed under: Corinectria fuckeliana
Lineage: Eukaryota; Fungi; Ascomycota; Sordariomycetes; Hypocreales; Nectriaceae
Description: SSU rRNA
Rfam family: Eukaryotic small subunit ribosomal RNA
Source: RNAcentral
CGAAACUGCGAAUGGCUCAUUAUAUAAGUUAUCGUUUAUUUGAUAGUACCUUACUACUUGGAUAACCGUGGUAAUUCUAGAGCUAAUACAUGCUAAAAAUCCCGACUUCGGAAGGGAUGUAUUUAUUAGAUUAAAAACCAAUGCCCUCCGGGGCUCCUUGGUGAUUCAUGAUAACUCCUCGAAUCGCACGGCCUUGCGCCGGCGAUGGUUCAUUCAAAUUUCUUCCCUAUCAACUUUCGAUGUUUGGGUAUUGGCCAAACAUGGUUGCAACGGGUAACGGAGGGUUAGGGCUCGACCCCGGAGAAGGAGCCUGAGAAACGGCUACUACAUCCAAGGAAGGCAGCAGGCGCGCAAAUUACCCAAUCCCGACACGGGGAGGUAGUGACAAUAAAUACUGAUACAGGGCUCUUUUGGGUCUUGUAAUUGGAAUGAGUACAAUUUAAAUCCCUUAACGAGGAACAAUUGGAGGGCAAGUC